Molecule: ribosomal RNA, 253 nt
Filed under: uncultured bacterium
Lineage: Bacteria
Description: partial 16S ribosomal RNA
Rfam family: Bacterial small subunit ribosomal RNA
Source: RNAcentral
UACGGAGGGUGCAAGCGUUAUCCGGAUUUACUGGGUUUAAAGGGUGUGUAGGCGGGCUGGUAAGUCAGGGGUGAAAUCCCGGAGCUCAACUCCGGAACUGCCUUUGAUACUACUGGUCUUGAAUAUUGUUGAGGUGGGCGGAAUGUGUCAUGUAGCGGUGAAAUGCAUAGAUAUGACACAGAACACCGAUUGCGAAGGCAGCUCACUGGGCAAUUAUUGACGCUGAGGCACGAAAGCGUGGGGAUCAAACAGG